Non-coding RNA from Acanthosepion pharaonis, 112 nucleotides. The record is from the annotation of a GenBank genome assembly. Lineage: Eukaryota; Metazoa; Mollusca; Cephalopoda; Sepiida; Sepiidae.
UACAGCCAUAUCACAUUGAAACACCAGUUCUCGUACGAUCACCAAAGUUAAGCAACGCGGAGCCUCGUCAGUAUCUAGAUGGGUGACUGCUUGGGAAUACCAAGUGCUGUAA